GCCCCUGUAGCUCAGUGGACAGAGCGUUAGCCUCCGGAGCUAAAAAGGGCAGUUCGAGUCUGCCCAGGGGCA
Molecule: transfer RNA, 72 nt
Filed under: Chloroflexota bacterium
Lineage: Bacteria; Bacillati; Chloroflexota
Also listed under: 2 other names
Description: Chloroflexi bacterium (permafrost metagenome) tRNA-Arg
Rfam family: tRNA
About the family: Transfer RNA (tRNA) molecules are approximately 80 nucleotides in length. Their secondary structure includes four short double-helical elements and three loops (D, anti-codon, and T loops).
Source: RNAcentral